This is a long non-coding RNA of Oncorhynchus tshawytscha (Chinook salmon), 1747 nucleotides long. The record is from Ensembl. NCBI's taxonomy places the organism in Eukaryota, Metazoa, Chordata, Actinopteri, Salmoniformes, Salmonidae.
GUGUGUGGUUUGACACGUACCUUGGGAAACAUUUGCUCAGUGUAGUCCUGUUCCUGCUGUGAGAGGAGGAAGGCUGCAGAGUUCUUCCCAGCCCCUCUUUCUGGAAGUCUCUCUCCAGCCCCUCUCUCUGGAAGUCUCUCUCCAGCCCCUCUUUCUGGAAGUCUCUCUCCAGCUCCUCUUUCUGGAAGUCUCUCCCCAGCCCCUCUUUCUGGAAGUCUCUCUCCCGGCAUAAGCCCUCUCCCUGUCUCUGAAUGGACAAUCUGUGAGGAAACAUCAUAUUACACACUGAGAUAGGCCUCACAGUCAGUUAGCUCAGGUUUGAACACUCCCCACCCCCACAGAAUGAAAUGGCGCAAACUAGCUACUCGAUUUGAUUCAAGCUAGCUAGGGCACACAACACUUGGUUUUGGGUUUCAAGAUUAGUAUGACCAGAACCUCACACCCUAACUGGUAAGGUCCUCUCCAGGGGGGCCCAACCUCCUCCCUGUGCUGCCCAGUUGGCAGGCCUCUCGGUCGGGUAACACAUCACCGUACUGAUACCCCUCAUCCUCCCUGGCCAUCACAUCUCUAUUCAACGUGUGUGUGAGCCGCACAGUACGUGUCGCAUUGUUAAUAUAUUCCUAAUGAUGUGCUACUUCUCAAGGGUACCCUCGUGGCGACGACACUCACACCCGAUAACACUGAUCUCUGGGGUGAAGACACACUUUGUCUGGUGGUUGAUAACUGGCACCACAGAGGAGCUAGAGAAGAGAGGAGCAGGGUGGGGUUUACUCACAGAGGAGAGAGGAGCAGGGUGGGUUUUACUCACAGAGGAGAGAGGAGCAGGGUAGGGUUUACUCACAGAGGAGAGAGGAGCAGGGUAGGGUUUGGAGAAUGAGAGAGAGAACAGAGAGAGGAUAGAAGUGAUCAGAAAGGGGGGAUACCUAGUCAGUUGUACAACUGAAUGCCUUCAACUGAAAUGUGUCUUCCGCAUUUAAACCAAACCCCUCUGAAUCAGAGAAUUCCAGAACCACAUCACCAAAUCACAUUUGUGCACGAGUCAGGUACUCAAGUAAAUGAGUCAGGUACUCACGAGUACCGCAUAAAAAGUACCGCACGAGUCAGGUCCUCAAGUAAAUGAGUCAGGUACUCACGAGUACCGCAUAAAAAGUACCGCACGAGUCAGGUACUCAAGUAAAUGAGACGUUUAUGACUUAACAUCAAAAGUUCAUUUCCAGUGAGUCGACACAUAGCACAUACCUCAUAACCGUAAAUCCUGACAUUGACUAAGAUUCUCUCUGCUGAGAAGGAGUCUUUGCCUUAUUUACGUUUUCCAUUUAGUGAGGUCAAAAUACCUCUGUAUGUUAUCUACAGUACUGACAUAUCUAAUACUCCAUACGGAUCAUACACAGACAGCUGUGAAAUUCAACACUGUGAUGAGAUCACAACUAGAGGUCCAUAAAAAACGGGGGAAACUUAAAUAGAAUAAUAAAUCAUACACAUAAAUUACUAAACAGAUGGUUUUAUAUUAAAAGUAAACGAGCAAGGCACUUCGGCUCUCAUUGCUUUAUUUUUGAGAGACGGGGAGGGGAAGGGAGGUGGGUAUUUCUUGGGGAUGUGGGGAAUGCCGUCCUGGCAAAGAAGGCUCUGUGCCCGUGUGUGUGUGUGUGUGUGGGGGGGCCCAGCAUCCUGAUGUCCUGGGUGGGCCCAGCAUCCUGAUGUCCUGGGUGGGCCCAGCAUCCUGAUGUCCUGGGUGGGCCCAGCAUCC